This 428-nucleotide ribosomal RNA is filed under the name uncultured bacterium. RNAcentral's name for it is "partial 16S ribosomal RNA". It matches the Rfam family "Bacterial small subunit ribosomal RNA", at positions 354 to 796 of the family's 1533-position model. The record is from RNAcentral.
GUGGGGAAUAUUGGGCAAUGGGCGCAAGCCUGACCCAGCAACGCCGCGUGAAGGAAGAAGGCUUUCGGGUUGUAAACUUCUUUUACCAGGGACGAAACAAAUGACGGUACCUGGUGAAUAAGCCACGGCUAACUACGUGCCAGCAGCCGCGGUAAUACGUAGGUGGCGAGCGUUAUCCGGAUUUAUUGGGUGUAAAGGGCGUGUAGGCGGGACAGCAAGUCAGAUGUGAAAACCAGAGGCUCAACCUCUGGCCUGCAUUUGAAACUGUUGUUCUUGAGUGUCGGAGAGGUAAUCGGAAUUCCGUGUGUAGCGGUGAAAUGCGUAGAUAUACGGAGGAACACCAGUUGCGAAGGCGGAUUACUGGACGAUAACUGACGCUGAGGCGCGAAAGCGUGGGGAGCAAACAGGAUUAGAAACCCCGGUAGUCC